This 961-nucleotide long non-coding RNA is filed under the name Pan troglodytes (chimpanzee). Its description in RNAcentral is "long non-coding RNA NONPTRT001615". The record is from RNAcentral. Lineage: Eukaryota; Metazoa; Chordata; Mammalia; Primates; Hominidae.
AGACAUUCUAUUUCUUUCUUAAUAAGGCCAUCAACUUUCAAAUCAACAAGGUGUGGUCUGGCGUUAUCAUUCAAAGAAUAAAUGCCAGCAACUCCCCUUCGUUUUUUUAAAUACUGAAAGACUUGAAGGAAUAAGGAAAUCUGGAACAUAGUUCUGGCUUCACUAGUUCCUCACUGUGCCAUUUUGGGCAGGUUACUUUGGUCUCUGUUUCCUCAUCUGUGUAAUGAAGCUGUUGUAAGUAACACUUCCAGCUCAAGAUUUUAUGUUUUUAGGUCUGAUAUCUAAAAAAAAAAAAAUUCACAGUACUAGAAGUACAUGAAUAGGUGUGCAUGCAACACCUCCCAUUGCAAACAUCAACCUGCUAUGAGAAUGUCCUUGGAUCAUUUGGGAUGUCACCUUCUGUUCCAUGUGAGAAUGUUUUCCUGCUGGGCUUUACUCUCUGAUUGUAAAGACUGGGAUCCUGUGAAUGUUGGCUCUUUAUGUGGCUGGGAAAGGGCUUCUUAUUGACUGCAGAAUAUGAAGUUAUUGAUCAGGGAGAGACGCCAUGUAGCUGUAAGUAAGUGUACUGUUGAAUGUGUUUAUGAUGGCCAACUCUGAUAUUAAAUCAUUCUGAGGUCAAAGUUUUGUUGAGAGGAAAAAUAAUUAUGUAAUACAUAUAUUACACCUAUGUAUGUAAUACUUAUUACAUAUAUGUAAUAUAAUGCAUUACAUAUAUAAAUAUACAUAUAUACAUAUACAGCUGUGUACAUAUAUACAUGUGUAAUAAUGUAUCUCAAUGUAGCUUAGUACAUAAUAAUUGCUUAGCUGUAUAUAUACAGCUGAGUAAAAAAAUUGCAGCAUCUCCAUAUUGUUAUAGAUUUUGGCAACAGUUUUUGAUCUAACAUUUUUGGCAUUUAAAAAUACAUUUAAAUCAUAUGACAAUACAUUGAAUAUGGUAGCAGGUAGAAUAAGGCUGAUAACA